RNAcentral lists this ribosomal RNA (253 nucleotides) under uncultured bacterium. RNAcentral's name for it is "partial 16S ribosomal RNA". It matches the Rfam family "Bacterial small subunit ribosomal RNA", at positions 524 to 776 of the family's 1533-position model. The record is from RNAcentral.
UGCGGAGGGAGCUAGCGUUGUUCGGAAUUACUGGGCGUAAAGCGCGCGUAGGCGGCUUUGUAAGUUAGAGGUGAAAGCCUGGAGCUCAACUUCAGAAUUGCCUUUAAGACUGCAUCGCUUGAAUCCGGGAGAGGUGAGUGGAAUUCCGAGUGUAGAGGUGAAAUUCGUAGAUAUUCGGAAGAACACCAGUGGCGAAGGCGGCUCACUGGACCGGCAUUGACGCUGAGGUGCGAAAGCGUGGGGAGCAAACAGG